RNAcentral lists this ribosomal RNA (253 nucleotides) under uncultured bacterium. RNAcentral describes it as "partial 16S ribosomal RNA". It matches the Rfam family "Bacterial small subunit ribosomal RNA", at positions 524 to 776 of the family's 1533-position model. The record is from RNAcentral.
GACGAAGGGGGCUAGCGUUGUUCGGAAUUACUGGGCGUAAAGCGCGUGUAGGCGGUUGCCCAAGUCGGGUGUGAAAGCCUUGAGCUCAACUCAAGAAAUGCACUCGGUACUGGGUGACUAGAGGACCGGAGAGGAUAGUGGAAUUCCCAGUGUAGUGGUGAAAUUCGUAGAUAUUAGGAAGAACACCGGUGGCGAAGGCGGCCCACUGGUCCGGUACUGACGCUGAGGUGCGAAAGCGUGGGGAGCAAACAGG